RNAcentral lists this ribosomal RNA (461 nucleotides) under uncultured bacterium. RNAcentral's name for it is "bacterial SSU rRNA". It matches the Rfam family "Bacterial small subunit ribosomal RNA", at positions 62 to 507 of the family's 1533-position model. The record is from RNAcentral.
UCGAGGGGCAGCGGGAUUGAAGCUUGCUUACGAAUUCGGCCGGCGACCGGCGCGACGGGUGAGUAACGCGUAUCCAACCUUCCGUACACUCAGGGAUAGCCUUUCGAAAGAAAGAUUAAUACCUGAUGGUAUCUUAAGCACACAUGUAAUUAAGAUUAAAGAUUUAUCGGUGUACGAUGGGGAUGCGUUCCAUUAGGUAGUAGGCGGGGUAACGGCCCACCUAGCCAACGAUGGAUAGGGGUUCUGAGAGGAAGGUCCCCCACAUUGGAACUGAGACACGGUCCAAACUCCUACGGGAGGCAGCAGUGAGGAAUAUUGGUCAAUGGACGAGAGUCUGAACCAGCCAAGUAGCGUGAAGGAUGAAGGUCCUACGGAUUGUAAACUUCUUUUAUAAGGGAAUAAACCCUCCCACGUGUGGGAGCUUGUAUGUACCUUAUGAAUAAGCAUCGGCUAACUCCGUG